GGCUAGGAAGGUAGCUGGAGCUGGCUGCAGUCUAUCAGACCUCUCCCCUUCUAAUGCUAAAACCCAUCUCAACCAUGUGCUCAAAUAUAGCAGUAAACCCAAAGAUAUUUACAAGUACCAUGCUGGAAUUCACUGAGCUCCUGAGAGCGACCCAUUCUUUCACUAAUGUUUGUAGAAGCAGUCUGCAGGUCUAGGGCCUUGGUUGUAUACAGCUGUGGACAUGGAAGUGAUCGGAACACUUGAAUUCAAUGAUUUGGAUGGUUUGGCAGGACCACGUUUGGUUUAGAGGACAUUCAAUCUUCCAAAGUACCAACCAAAGUCAGCAAAAUGCAUACGGCAACAACUUGUGUUCCUCUCCCUCACAAAGUGACAAAGUGACUGCUCUCCUGAGCCUCAAGUCCCAGACAAAACUCCCAGGUGCAAUGUCUUUUACAAUGUUAGAAAUGCUAUAAUGUUAGUGCUGAGAGUUCUUGAACAAUGCAAAAUGUAAUUAGGUCUCUAAAAUGAGCAUCAGACAGCUUGUUCUCCAUCUUGCACUUUUACCAGAACUUCCAGACCUUUCUAUGCCUUUAGAGAAGGCCUAAUGAUUUCUGGGAACAAAUAAAAUGCAUUUCUUUUA
Long non-coding RNA from Pygocentrus nattereri (red-bellied piranha), 619 nucleotides. RefSeq lists it as uncharacterized. The transcript has 2 exons. NCBI's taxonomy places the organism in Eukaryota, Metazoa, Chordata, Actinopteri, Characiformes, Serrasalmidae. The record is from RefSeq and is a predicted model, not a curated record.